GUGGGGAAUAUUGGACAAUGGGGGGAACCCUGAUCCAGCCAUGCCGCGUGUGUGAAGAAGGCCUUUUGGUUGUAAAGCACUUUAAGCGAGGAGGAGGCUACCGAGAUUAAUACUCUUGGAUAGUGGACGUUACUCGCAGAAUAAGCACCGGCUAACUCUGUGCCAGCAGCCGCGGUAAUACAGAGGGUGCAAGCGUUAAUCAGAUUUACUGGGCGUAAAGCGCGCGUAGGUGGCCAAUUAAGUCAAAUGUGAAAUCCCCGAGCUUAACUUGGGAAUUGCAUUCGAUACUGGUUGGCUAGAGUAUGGGAGAGGAUGGUAGAAUUCCAGGUGUAGCGGUGAAAUGCGUAGAGAUCUGGAGGAAUACCGAUGGCGAAGGCAGCCAUCUGGCCUAAUACUGACACUGAGGUGCGAAAGCAUGGGGAGCAAACAGGAUUAGAAACCCCUGUAGUCC
Molecule: ribosomal RNA, 451 nt
Filed under: uncultured bacterium
Lineage: Bacteria
Description: bacterial SSU rRNA
Rfam family: Bacterial small subunit ribosomal RNA
Source: RNAcentral